AAUUGAUAACUUUGAAGGCUCUAGUGUUAAGGGGUUUGGAUAUGAAGACCAUGGUAUUAAACAAGAAUCACUUGCCAAUUUCAAAUUUGGAUCUUGUGUUUAUGAGGGAGGACACGGAGUAACGUCAAUGCGACCUUGCAGUUCCGUGAAAUUGGAGACUUCUGUACGACCUUAUAGUUCUGGCACAUUGGAGCCCAGGUCUAGCGGGAAGCCACCAGUUUCUGUUCAUCCAAAGCAGUUCACGUCUGUUCCUGCAAUAAUAAGCCGUAGUAGC
This 274-nucleotide long non-coding RNA is filed under the name Linum usitatissimum (flax). RNAcentral describes it as "long non-coding RNA (LUSI_LNC000749)". Lineage: Eukaryota; Viridiplantae; Streptophyta; Magnoliopsida; Malpighiales; Linaceae. The record is from RNAcentral.